Molecule: transfer RNA, 23 nt
Filed under: Pseudobarbus burchelli
Lineage: Eukaryota; Metazoa; Chordata; Actinopteri; Cypriniformes; Cyprinidae
Also listed under: 1 other name
Description: partial tRNA-Thr
Source: RNAcentral
GGAGGUUAAAUUCCUCCCUAGUG